CCUACGGGGUGCAGCAGUGGGGAAUAUUGCGCAAUGGGCGAAAGCCUGACGCAGCGACGCCGCGUGAGGGAUGAAGGUCUUCGGAUCGUAAACCUCUGUUAGCAGGGAAGAACGGUCACUGUGCUAAUCAGCAGUGAAUUGACGGUACCUGCAAAGGAAGCACCGGCUAAAUCCGUGCCAGCAGCCGCGGUAAUACGGAGGGUGCGAGCGUUAAUCGGAAUUACUGGGCGUAAAGCGGUCGUAGGCGGUAUGUCAAGUCAAGGGUGAAAGCCCCGCGCUCAACGUGGGGACUGCCUUUGAAACUGGCAAACUGGAGUGUGUGAGAGGAUAGUGGAAUUCGAGGUGUAGGAGUGAAAUCCGUAGAUAUCUGGAGGAACAUCAGUGGCGAAGGCGACUAUCUGGCACAUAACUGACGCUGAGGAGCGAAAGCGUGGGUAGCAAACAGGAUUAGAUAUCCGUGUAGUC
Molecule: ribosomal RNA, 465 nt
Filed under: uncultured bacterium
Lineage: Bacteria
Description: partial 16S ribosomal RNA
Rfam family: Bacterial small subunit ribosomal RNA
Source: RNAcentral